UGACUGGGGCGGUCGCCUCCUAAAUCGUAACGGAGGCGCGCGAAGGUUGGCUCAGAGCGGUCGGAAAUCGCUCGUUGAGUGCAAUGGCAGAAGCCAGCCUGACUGCAAGACUGACAAGUCGAGCAGAGUCGAAAGACGGCCAUAGUGAUCCGGUGGUCCCAAGUGGGAGGGCCAUCGCUCAACGGAUAAAAGGUACGCCGGGGAUAACAGGCUGAUACUGCCCAAGAGUCCAUAUCGACGGCAGUGUUUGGCACCUCGAUGUCGGCUCAUCUCAUCCUGGGGCUGGAGCAGGUCCCAAGGGUAUGGCUGUUCGCCAUUUAAAGUGGUACGCGAGCUGGGUUUAGAACGUCGUGAGACAGUUCGGUCCCUAUCUGUUGUGGGCGUUAGAAAUUUGAGAGGACCUGCCUCUAGUACGAGAGGACCGGGGUGGACGAACCUCUAGUGUACCUGUUGUGGCGCCAGCUGCAUCGCAGGGUAGCUACGUUCGGAUGAGAUAAGCGCUGAAAGCAUCUAAGCACGAAACUCACCUCAAGAUGAGAUUUCUUUUAAGGGCCGUGGGAGACUACCACGUUGAUAG
Molecule: ribosomal RNA, 577 nt
Filed under: uncultured Micromonas
Lineage: Eukaryota; Viridiplantae; Chlorophyta; Mamiellophyceae; Mamiellales
Description: partial Bacterial large subunit ribosomal RNA
Rfam family: Bacterial large subunit ribosomal RNA
Source: RNAcentral